RNAcentral lists this ribosomal RNA (489 nucleotides) under uncultured bacterium. Its description in RNAcentral is "bacterial SSU rRNA". It matches the Rfam family "Bacterial small subunit ribosomal RNA", at positions 12 to 507 of the family's 1533-position model. The record is from RNAcentral.
UUUGAUCAUGGCUCAAAACGAACGUUGGCGGCGUGGAUUCGGUUUGCAAGUCGUACAAGCUUCAUCUGGGCAACUGGGUGAAGAAAGUGGCGAAAGGGGCAGUAAGGCAUGGAUAAUCUACCCUGAUGACCGGGAUAGCUGUCCCAACGGGCAGGUAAUACCGGAUGUGCUGGUGGGGCCGCAUGGUUCUGCCAGGAAAGGCGCAAGCCGUGUCGGGAGGAAUCCAUGUGAUAUUAGCUAGUUGGUGAGGUAACGGCUCACCAAGGCGAAAAUGUCUAGCGGGUGUGAGAGCACGACCCGCGCCAUUGGCACUGAAACACUGGCCAGACUCCUACGGGAGGCUGCAGUCAAGGAUCUUCGGCAAUGGGCGCAAGCCUGACCGAGCGACGCCGCGUGAGCGAUGAAGGCCAUUAGGUUGUAAAGCUCUGUCGAGGGGGAACAAGCCGCAAGGUUGAGUGAUCCCUGGAGGAAGCACGGGCUAAGUUCGUG